RNAcentral lists this ribosomal RNA (392 nucleotides) under uncultured bacterium. RNAcentral's name for it is "bacterial SSU rRNA". It matches the Rfam family "Bacterial small subunit ribosomal RNA", at positions 28 to 419 of the family's 1533-position model. The record is from RNAcentral.
GACGAACGCUGGCGGCGUGCUUAACACAUGCAAGUCGAGCGGUAAGGCCCUUUCGGGGGUACGACGAGCGGCGAACGGGUGAGUAACACGUGGGUGACCUGCCCUCAGCUCUGGGAUAAGCCUGGGAAACCGGGUCUAAUACUGGAUAUGACUCCAUGACGCAUGUUGUGGGGUGGAAAGCCUUGUGCGGCUGAGGAUGGGCCCGCGGCCUAUCAGCUUGUUGGUGGGGUGANGGCCUACCAAGGCGACGACGGGUAGCCGGCCUGAGAGGGCGACCGGCCACACUGGGACUGAGACACGGCCCAGACUCCUACGGGAGGCAGCAGUGGGGAAUCUUGCGCAAUGGGCGAAAGCCUGACGCAGCCGACGCCGCGUGAGGGAUGACGGCCUGG